This 530-nucleotide ribosomal RNA is filed under the name Oidiodendron sp. RNAcentral's name for it is "LSU rRNA". It matches the Rfam family "Eukaryotic large subunit ribosomal RNA", at positions 101 to 646 of the family's 3401-position model. Lineage: Eukaryota; Fungi; Ascomycota; Leotiomycetes; Myxotrichaceae. The record is from RNAcentral.
GCAACAGCUCAAAUUUGAAAUCUGGCCCCCUCGGGGUCCGAGUUGUAAUUUGGAGAGGAUGCUUCGGGUGUGGCCCCGGUCUAAGUUCCUUGGAACAGGACGUCACAGAGGGUGAGAAUCCCGUACGUGCCCGGUGGCCGCCCCCGUGUGAAGCUCCUUCGACGAGUCGAGUUGUUUGGGAAUGCAGCUCAAAAUGGGUGGUAAAUUUCAUCUAAAGCUAAAUAUUGGCCAGAGACCGAUAGCGCACAAGUAGAGUGAUCGAAAGAUGAAAAGCACUUUGGAAAGAGAGUUAAACAGUACGUGAAAUUGUUGAAAGGGAAGCGCUGGCAACCAGACUUGCGCGGGGUCGAUCAUCCGGUGUUCGCACCGGUGCACUCGGCCCCGCGCAGGCCAGCAUCGGUCUGGGCGGCUGGAUAAAGGCCUUGGGAAUGUGGCUCUCUUCGGGGAGUGUUAUAGCCCAAGGUGCAAUGCAGCCCGCCUGGACCGAGGACCGCGCUCCGGCUAGGAUGCUGGCGUAAUGGUUGUCAGCG